GGUGGUUCUCGGGUGACACACCCCAGAAUCAGGCUCCCUCCUCUCUGGUUCCGGGUGCGUCACCCGAGAACCACC
Molecule: non-coding RNA, 75 nt
Organism: Myotis brandtii (Brandt's bat)
Lineage: Eukaryota; Metazoa; Chordata; Mammalia; Chiroptera; Vespertilionidae
Source: Rfam